RNAcentral lists this long non-coding RNA (359 nucleotides) under Astyanax mexicanus (Mexican tetra). Its description in RNAcentral is "lncRNA (ENSAMXG00005000017.1)". The record is from RNAcentral. Lineage: Eukaryota; Metazoa; Chordata; Actinopteri; Characiformes; Acestrorhamphidae.
ACAAUUGGAUGAAUUUGUUUUAGAUGAUCAGUUUGUCUUUCUGUCUCUUCUCUUUUUUUUCCCUCUCUUUUCUCUCUCUGCAGCAGGCUGUGAGUGAGGGAGGAGUGAGAGGAGAGGGGAGUGAGAGAGGAGGAGUGAUGGAGCAGAAUAUUCCAGCUUUGCAGAACCAGAGUUCUACAGAUUCUCUCCAGAGAUACAUGAUGAUGGUGAUGGAGGGCCAAGAGAAGGAGCAGAGAGAACAGAUUUCUUUAAAAGAUGAUUCAGUAAAUCUGAGCCAGGAGGCGGCAGCUCUGUCUGAGAGCAAAGACGACAGCAUCGCUGCAUUCUCCCAUGAUGAGCCUGAUGAUGAUUUUUGGUGA